Long non-coding RNA from Gadus morhua (Atlantic cod), 1833 nucleotides. RefSeq lists it as uncharacterized. The transcript is spliced from 2 exons. The record is from RefSeq and is a predicted model, not a curated record. NCBI's taxonomy places the organism in Eukaryota, Metazoa, Chordata, Actinopteri, Gadiformes, Gadidae.
GCGCCAGUAGGCGGUAGCAUUCGAUGCUCCGUCUAUCAUAUAAGAUGUCCCGUGUGGGGACGCACACUUCUGUGUUUGUUUUUAGUCUUUAAUAGUGUUUAAUUUAGUUUAUUGCUAAUCAAACCGGAUUAUUUUGUUUUAUUGUCUUAUUGUCACAAACUGUGUUGGUUUUAAUUCUGUUUAUUACGGAUCAGCUCGGACUUUUUUAGGUUUUUCCAUUUUUGUUAUUGUGUUGCUAUGGCGAUGUCACGGAUCAUUUUUACGAGAGAUGAGAUCCUUAACAUCAGGGACUCAACACCAUCGGAUUUAUGUCCCAACUUUCUCGCCUCUCCCGUGGACUUACAAGACCUACUUAUCCAAGGCCCUGGUCUCACAGUGAGACGGAGAAAGAGAGGAAAGCGCGCAGGAGCCCAGGUGCGAUUUAGGAAGAGAGGAAUGCGGUCGCCUUUACCGACACAGCUGACCGGCUUUCAGCUGUUACGUGCAGACCGCGAUCCAACUCUUUCAGGCAAAUCAAAAGGCGGAGGUAUUUGUUUCUAUAUAAAACAGUGCUGGUGCAGUGACGUGAAAGUGAUCUUACAAUCCUGUUCUCCCGACUUGGAAUCUUUUUUUAUCACCUGCAAACCGUUUUACUCCCCCCGUGAAUUCACUUAUUUUAUUCUUGCUGGAGUUUACAUCCCACCGCAAGCUGACGUGCGAGAGGCUCAACGUCAACUCGCUGAUCAGAUAUUAGGAGUGGAGAGUAGGAGAGAGAAUACAUAUUCUCCGGUUAUUGUCAUUGGAGAUUUUAAUAAGGGCAACCUCACGCACGAACUCCCGAAAUACAAACAGUUAGUCAAAUGCCCGACCAGGGAGGAGAAUACUUUGGACCACUGCUACAGCACCAUCAGCAGGGCUUAUCACAGAGUCAACCGUUGUGCGAACUAAAUCGCAAAUUGGAUACCAUUCUGGUGAAGUAGGACCGGGCUUAAACGGGCCACGAAUUUUCGGCUAAUUUGGCCUUUUGGAUUCUGGAAAUGGAAGACUACAGAGAGUAUCAGAGAGACUUUAAGGUUGGCAAAAAUUGCAGAGUCGGCCUGACCCAAAGCAAUCGUUAUCUUCAUUCGGCUCCCCUACUUCGGCCUUGGAAGGCUGAUAUCUCUCCUCUCCCUGGUUCUUAUGCAGACGGAUGCCCUGCCACCCUUCCCCCCACCCUCCACCUCCUGUGAACUUUGUCUCUGGUCGGAACUCUUCGAGGUCGUCUCCACGGCGACGGCCGUGUCCUCGUCACCAGCAUCAGACGGGAGAGACACUGUUGAGUCCAUUGGAGAUGGAGUCCUUGAGCUCACACACACGCACACAAGACUGAUUACACACACACCCCCUGGACUCACCGCCUACUGGACUCCCUCCCCCUCCCCUUCCCUCGUUGCAGCACAGUAUGCCGUGAGUGAUGUGAUGCGCCCGUUGGCUGCGUCCGCCUCCCGGUGUCUGAGUUGUGACACCUCCCCUCCCCAACUCCCUUCCCCCCUCCCACAUGUGUUUGUGAUGUUUUUGAUGUGAUGCUUAUGUGUUGAGGUGUUUUUUUGCUAAUCCCUACACUGUGCCCCCCUUAAAGGAGCAUAGUUUGGGGUAUUGACAAUUUUUUUUUCCCCUCGUUACCUUGUUUAGCUUUUUAAACUUUCUUAUAUAACGCGGGCCGCAUGGUUCUUGUUGAACAAGCGCCUGACAGUCUCUCCGUCCCGUCUCCCCACACUGUCUUUUAUGUUUCUUGGACAGAAUGUAACUGGGAAUUUCGUUGCUCUGUUGCUCUGUAACAUGUGCAAUGACAACAAUAAAUUCAAUUAAAUUCAA